RNAcentral lists this ribosomal RNA (725 nucleotides) under Phyllanthus cochinchinensis. RNAcentral's name for it is "eukaryotic LSU rRNA". The stretch from base 340 to 495 matches the Rfam family "5.8S ribosomal RNA". Lineage: Eukaryota; Viridiplantae; Streptophyta; Magnoliopsida; Malpighiales; Phyllanthaceae. The record is from RNAcentral.
GGGCGGUUCGCCGCUGACGACGUCGCGAGAAGUCCACUGAACCUUAUCAUUUAGAGGAAGGAGAAGUCGUAACAAGGUUUCCGUAGGUGAACCUGCGGAAGGAUCAUUGUCGAAACUUCGCACAGCAGAACGACCCGCGAACGCGUUUACCAACCGCGAAAGGUGCCCUAUGGCCCCUGACGCACGGCCUCGUGGGGUGCCACGCUCCUCACGGGUGCUGAAAAAACAAUCCCCGGCGCGGAAAGCGCCAAGGAAAACGAACAAAAGAGUGAGAUCGCGCUCAUCGCCCCGCGGAGACAGCGGGUGCAUGGGAGGAAUCUCUCCUUUCGAUACCAAAACGACUCUCGGCAACGGAUAUCUCGGCUCUCGCAUCGAUGAAGAACGUAGCGAAAUGCGAUACUUGGUGUGAAUUGCAGAAUCCCGUGAACCAUCGAGUCUUUGAACGCAAGUUGCGCCCAAAGCCUUCGGGCUGAGGGCACGUCUGCCUGGGUGUCACGCAACGUCGCUCCACCCACCCCAUUUGUGGGUCUUAUGAGCGGAAAAUGGCCUCCCACGAGCUAAGAACUCGUGGUUGGCCCAAACACGAGUCCAAGUCGGCGAGUGCCGUGGCAUUUGGUGGUUGAAAAUCGCUAUGGAUAGCUGCCCACAUUUGGCCGGGCCAACAAGGAUUUCGAGGACCUUUCUUGCUUCUGACGCGACCCCAGGUCAGGCGGGAUUGCACGCUG